GGCUUGAUGGUCUAGUAGUAUGAUUCCUGCUUCGGGCUUCACAACCCUCCUCCCCCUUUGUCGGAGGAAUGCACUGCAGGAGGUCCCGGGUUCAAUUCCCGGUCAAGCCC
Non-coding RNA from Cylindrobasidium torrendii FP15055 ss-10, 110 nucleotides. NCBI's taxonomy places the organism in Eukaryota, Fungi, Basidiomycota, Agaricomycetes, Agaricales, Physalacriaceae. The record is from the annotation of a GenBank genome assembly.